RNAcentral lists this ribosomal RNA (159 nucleotides) under Bacillus sp. BGMRC 2118. RNAcentral describes it as "partial 16S ribosomal RNA". It matches the Rfam family "Eukaryotic small subunit ribosomal RNA", at positions 1184 to 1342 of the family's 1831-position model. The record is from RNAcentral. Lineage: Bacteria; Bacillati; Bacillota; Bacilli; Caryophanales; Bacillaceae.
UGCGGCUUAAUUUGACUCAACACGGGGAAACUCACCAGGUCCAGACACAAUGAGGAUUGACAGGAUGAGAGCACUUUCUUGAUUUUGUGGGUGGUGGUGCAUGGCCGUUCUUAGUUGGUGGAGUGAUUUGUCUGCUUAAUUGCGAUAACGAACGAGACC